RNAcentral lists this unclassified non-coding RNA (609 nucleotides) under uncultured cyanobacterium. Its description in RNAcentral is "partial contains 16S ribosomal RNA and 16S-23S ribosomal RNA intergenic spacer". The stretch from base 1 to 102 matches the Rfam family "Bacterial small subunit ribosomal RNA", at positions 1434 to 1533 of the family's 1533-position model. The record is from RNAcentral. Lineage: Bacteria; Bacillati; Cyanobacteriota.
UCCAACUGUUCGCAGAGGGGGACGCCGAAGGCGGGGCUGAUGACUGGGGUGAAGUCGUAACAAGGUAGCCGUACCGGAAGGUGUGGCUGGAUCACCUCCUUUCAGGGAGACCUACCUGUCCGCAGGAAGCGAGAUGAGAUAGACGCGCUGCGGGGAGGGUCACCCAAGGUCGGUCGGGGUUGGAAUCGAAUGGCUUUCAAGUUAGGUUUAGGUGUGUGGGUGGGGGCUAUUAGCUCAGGUGGUUAGAGCGCACCCCUGAUAAGGGUGAGGUCCCUGGUUCAAGUCCAGGAUGGCCCACUAAGGGGGUAUAGCUCAGUUGGUAGAGCGCCUGCUUUGCACGCAGGAAGUCAGCGGUUCGAGUCCGCUUACCUCCACCAAGGGAUAAGUUCAGCAAAUUAGGAUGGGGUCUAGAUGGCGCUAGACAAGCGUGUCUGGGGUUAAUUUUAAUUUGCUGGGUUUACGCCAGCCAGGACCAUGAAAACUGUAUAGAGAGAUAGAAAGUCAGGUAGUAAGAGACUGCUGAGUAAGUCAUUGAUGUGAAGGCAUGGAUGAUUUAUUGAGCGGCCACAGACACCGAUGUGGAAGUGGUCAAGCUAAGGGCUUAUGGUG